ACCAGUCCAGUCCGUCAAUGAACUCGUAUUUAACGACGUGGGUAGGUAAGAUUUCUUAGAAUGAGAUCUCAUGAAUACUCUGUAAAUCCCCAAGAUAUGAUUGUUUUAUUCGAAUUCUACGUGCAUUCCUAAGAACCAAUACAAAAGAUAAGAUACCUUGCUCAUAUAAAUUAGACUUGUUGUCGAUCAAGUGCUAGUACAAUAUCAGAAUAAAAUGGGAAAGUUUAUUUUCAAUAUCAUCGUUACUUUGCUAGUAUUGGCAGUCUUGGUGGCCAUUGCCACUAGUGUACCAGUUGAUCCUAAGCCAGUAAGGGUCGGUAGCCCUGGUCAGUAUGGUUACUGCUUUUAUCCUUACGUGAACGUGAGAGGAACAUGUGUUAAGUUAUUUCCUUGAGGAAAAAUAAGGCACAUCCGAUACCUCAAAGAAGUAAAAAGUGUUGAAAAUUCCAUUAUGUGUAAUUUUUGACGAAUUAAACCAUAAUUUCCUCUGUA
Long non-coding RNA from Coccinella septempunctata (seven-spotted ladybird), 492 nucleotides. RefSeq lists it as uncharacterized. Lineage: Eukaryota; Metazoa; Arthropoda; Insecta; Coleoptera; Coccinellidae. The transcript has 2 exons. The record is from RefSeq and is a predicted model, not a curated record.